RNAcentral lists this ribosomal RNA (484 nucleotides) under Escherichia coli. RNAcentral describes it as "bacterial SSU rRNA". It matches the Rfam family "Bacterial small subunit ribosomal RNA", at positions 1 to 480 of the family's 1533-position model. The record is from RNAcentral. Lineage: Bacteria; Pseudomonadati; Pseudomonadota; Gammaproteobacteria; Enterobacterales; Enterobacteriaceae.
AAGAGUUUGAUCAUGGCUCAGAUUGAACGCUGGCGGCAGGCCUAACACAUGCAAGUCGAACGGUAACAGAAAGCAGCUUGCUGCUUUGCUGACGAGUGGCGGACGGGGGAGUAAUGUCUGGGAAACUGCCUGAUGGAGGGGGAUAACUACUGGAAACGGUAGCUAAUACCGCAUAACGUCGCAAGACCAAAGAGGGGGACCUUCGGGCCUCUUGCCAUCGGAUGUGCCCAGAUGGGAUUAGCUAGUAGGUGGGGUAACGGCUCACCUAGGCGACGAUCCCUAGCUGGUCUGAGAGGAUGACCAGCCACACUGGAACUGAGACACGGUCCAGACUCCUACGGGAGGCAGCAGUGGGGAAUAUUGCACAAUGGGCGCAAGCCUGAUGCAGCCAUGCCGCGUGUAUGAAGAAGGCCUUCGGGUUGUAAAGUACUUUCAGCGGGGAGGAAGGGAGUAAAGUUAAUACCUUUGCUCAUUGACGUUACCC